GUCUUUUCUGGUGGUGUUGCCUCCAGAACCCGGAGUGGGAAACGAGGAAGCGCAAGGCCCCAGUGGUGAGCUCCGUGGUGCGGGUGAACCAGGCGGCUGACGAGGGUCCAGACAGUAACGAGCUAGAGGAGGAGGAGGAGGAUGACGAGGAGGAGGAUGAAGGAUACGGCAUCAAGAGCAUAUCCAGCAGAGUGUCCCUGCCUUCCAAACCAGAACGCAGACCCUCUUUGCCCCCAGCCAAACAAGCCAACAAGAACCUGCUGAUGAGAGCUAUUUCUGAGUCCCAGGUCUCCAUCAACAAGACUCCAGCUGAUGCCUUCACUGUCAAUCUGCCUGAAUGAAGAAUGAAUCUUAACUAUUGGACAUGUGUUGUCCUGUUUUAUUAUCAUGACACCUGGGUCGUAUUCAUUAGGCACCAAAUGGAUCAAAACGGACUGAAAUGUACCACAGAGACAAACGGUUCCCGUGGCUCCCAGGACCCGUUCAGCCAGAGAUGAGAUGAAAGCAGCCAUCCAGCAAGUUCAGGAGAACCUUCGCGGCCUGGGCCCCGAGGGACAGACUUUCAGGACCCCAGGCAGCUAGAUACAGAGGUGGUUCCCAUCAGGAACAGACUGGGACCGUUGGGGGAGGAGGUGGUUCCCAUCAGGAGCAGACUGGGACUGUUGGGAGAGGAGGUGGUUCCCAUCAGAAGCAGACUGGGACCGUUGGGGAAGGAGGUGGUUCCCAUCAGGAGCAGACUGGGACCGUUGGGGGAGGAGGUGGUUCCCAUCAGGAACAGACUGGGACCGUUGGGGGAGGAGGUGGUUCCCAUCAGGAGCAGACUGGGACUGUUGGGAGAGGAGGUGGUUCCCAUCAGGAGCAGACUGGGACCAUUGGGAGAGGAGGUGGUUCCCAUCAGGAGCAGACUGGGACCGUUGUGGGAGGAGGUGGUUCCCAUCAGAAGCAGACUGGGACCGUUGGGGAAGGAGGUGGUUCCCGUCAGGAGCAGACUGGGACCGUUGUGGGAGGAGGUGGUUCCCAUCAGGAGCAGACUGGGACCGUUGUGGGAGGAGGUGGUUCCCAUCAGGAGCAGACUGGGACCGUUGGGAGAGGAGGUGGUUCCCAUCAGGAGCAGACUGGGACCGUUGGGGGAGGAGGUGGUUCCCAUCAGGAACAGACUGGGACCGUUGGGGGAGGAGGUGGUUCCCAUCAGGAGCAGACUGGGACCGUUGGGGGAGGAGGUGGUUCCCAUCAGGAACAGACUGGGACCGUUGGGGGAGGAG
Molecule: long non-coding RNA, 1262 nt
Filed under: Salmo salar (Atlantic salmon)
Lineage: Eukaryota; Metazoa; Chordata; Actinopteri; Salmoniformes; Salmonidae
Description: lncRNA (ENSSSAG00000087325.1, ENSSSAG00000094192.1)
Source: RNAcentral